GCCCUUGAGCUGCUGCUUGGCCCGCUCCCACACUGUUGAGUGUACUUUCAUUUUUAAUAAACCCUUGCUUUUGUUCUUUCAUUGCUCCAUUUUUCCCUUGCUUUUCUGUGUGUUUUCUCCAAUUCUUUGUUCAAAAACGCCAAGAACCUAGACAACUUUCAGUCAAAACCCUCUACUGGUAACAUAUUUUGGCAAGCCAGCCAGGAGAGAAGAUCCCUACCUGUGUCUGGGUUGGCAGCAGCAGCAGCUCAUCCAGGGCAAACUCACACGUUUCAGACCACUGUGGGCAACUCUCUACCUAUUCCACCUGAUUCCCCGCUCGGCUACGUCCUCCACCAUUGCGAUCAAUUUGACCCUGACAAUCUAAAGAGAAAACAUAUAAUUUUUUUCUGCAGUACUGUCUGGCUCCAUUAUGAGCUGCCCAGCCUGGAAAAAAUGGGUAGUCAAUGGUAGCCUUAAUUAUGACAUCAUCCUGCAAUUAGACCUAUUUUGCAAGAGACAGAGCACAUGGUCAGAAAUCUUGUACAUGCAGACUUCCAUGACGCUUUACCAAAACCUAACAAUCUGUGAAACUCCCAGAACCCACCCCACAAAGGAAAGUUCUAAGGGAGAACUACAUAUUAUAGAUGACCCCCUCUUACAAGGGCCACCUGUCUCUCAGAGUGAACAGUGACCACCCCCAUAUAGCCCCUUGCAAGUGCUCCUGAGGCUCAACCCCAGGAGCAAACACCAGAGACCCUACUAAGUCCCCCUCACAUUCGGAGGGGAACCCUGUAUUCAGCUCUUCUUCCAGCCCUGCUACACCUUAGGGAAGUAGCAGGAGUUGAGGGGCCAGUCCUAGUGCAGGCCCCCUUCUCUAUAACUAAUAUUCAACAAUGUAAGGAAAAGCUAGGAAGCUGUUCUGAGAAUCCUAGGAAAUUUGCAGAUGAGUUCCACACUUUGACCUUAGCCUUUGAUCUCUCAUGGAGAGAUGGUCAAUUCAUUCUAGCAACCUGUUGGCACUCCCUCAGGAAAGGAACAAAUCUUUGAGGCUGCCAGCAGGGAAGUGGAUGAAUUAUCCACCUGAAACCCUCAGGGCAAUUACCGAGGCCCAGACACAGUUCCCACUACUGAUCCUAAUUGAAACUAUAACGCCCCCAUGGGAAUGAACCACCUGGCUAAAUUUCUUGAGGCUGUCCUUGGAGGAAUGAGAAAGGGAUUAACUAAGGCAGUAAAUUAUGAUAAAGUAAGGGAGGUUACAUAAGGCAAGGAGGAAAAUCCAGCCAUGUUUUAUGGUAGGCUGGAGGAAGCCUUUAAAUAUAUACUAAUCUGGACCCUUCUUCUCCCGAAGGCAAAAUAUUAAUGGCACAGCAUUUCAUUAGCCAAUCUGCCCCAGAUAUCAGACGUAAACUCCAAAAGCUACAGAUGGGGCCACAAGCUAAUCAAAAUCAGCUUCUUAAUACUGCCUUUAUGGUGUAUAACAAUAUGACCUGGAGGAAGGAAAAAGAGAACAGAGUAAAGAAAGACGGCAAGCCAAAAUUAUGGCAGCCAUCAUUGGUGAUGCCCUGAAUGCCCAAAGAGCAUCUAAGGGAAACCCGAAGGACUAUAAAGAUAAUACCAGCAAAGGCAAGUCUUGCUUCAAAUGCAAGAAAAGCGGGCAUUGGGCAAAGGAAUGUACUAAGCCCCCGCCCUCCAGCUCCCCUCAGGCCCCUGCUGUCAACGCAAAGGCACCAGUCACGAACCCUGGCACUGGAGAAUUGAUUGCCUCUGCUCCCACUGAGGGGCUGGGUUAGGCAAAACUCUAGCAGUGCGAAAGGAGGAAUCAGAUGAAGACUGAAGGGGCCCGGGGUCUUCCUCACUGCCCCUGUCCAGGAACUUUGUAAUUACUACUGGGGAGCCUGGAGUAACUCUGGAUGUCACGGGCACCCAAAUUCAGUUUCUUUUUGUUACAGGGGCAAAUUACACUGUCCUUACUGCUUAUGCAGGGAAACUUCCCUCCUGGUCCAUGAGUGUUAUGGGAAUGGAAGGGAAGCCACAAACCAGAUUUUUUACUCCUCCUUUGAUUUGUCAAUUUGAGAAACGAAUCUUCCAACAGGAGUGCCUAGUAGUAUCAAGCUACGCAAUCCCCCUGCUGGGAAGAGAGAUUAUGGUUAAAAUAAGGGCACUACUACAAUUUAAGCAUCACCCAGUGAAAUUGCUAAUAGUCAAAAAUACAGACAAUGUCCAAGACCACAUUAAUAAACAGGUUAACCUGCUGGCAUUGUAUACUAGAAAACUGAGGAAGGCUAAAACAGCAGUGCCAGUCAAAAUACAGCUUGAAGACCCCAGCUGUUUUCCCAGUCAAAAAUAACACCCAAUUAAGCAGGAAGUAAGAAAUGACCUAGCACCCAUAGUUGAGGUAUUACUUACCCAUGGGCUCUUAAAACCCUGUAAUUCUCCCUGCAAUACCCUCAUCUUACCUGUUCUAAAGGCUUCAAGGGAAUACUGGUUAGUAAGAACAGUUAAUAAAGAAUCAAGGAGGACAAAAAGAAGGAUCCUCUUAGUAUAUGGGGUCAAAAAUAUAUCUCCCUCAGACAGCCCAGUGGAAAGUUAUAAAAACCCUGCCUGAUUCUUUCCAUGUUGGGAGGGAUGCAACUCUGAUUAUGGUAAACAAGCUCUUUACUGGGUCUAACUUCAGUGGCUAAGCAGGUCUACAAAGCCUGCUAACUCUGUGCACUUAACAAUCCAGGAAACAAAAUCCUCCUCUAAUAGAACCAGUCCAGAGGAGAGGAAAGUUUCCAGGGGAAGACUGGCAAUUAGACUUCACCUAUAUGCCAGCUUGCAGAGGGUACAAGUUUUUGUUAGUACUAGUAGAUACCUUUACUGGUUGGGUUGAAGCUUAUCCUACCAGAACACAGAAGGCUAAUGAGAUUAUAAAGGUUCUCUUAAAAGAAAUAAUCCCCUGGUUUGGGUUACCUCAGAGCCUCCAAAGUGAUAACGUCCUGUCCUUUAUCUCCAAAUAACUUGAGUGGUUGCUAAGGCUCUUGGAAUCAAAUACCAUUUAUAUUCAGCAUGGAGGCCUCAAUCCUCCAGGAAAGCAGAAACAGGUAACCAAACUCUAAAACAGGUGUUAGCUAAGCUACGUCAGGAAGCAUCAGAAACUUGGGUCAGCUUACUGCUCAUUGCCCUCUUAAGGAUCCAUAAUACCCCAGAGCAAAAAUUAAUAUAAGCGAAUAUAACGAAAUGUUAUACAGAAGGCCAUUCUUAACUAAUAAUUACUGAUCCAGAAACAGCCAGUAAAAUACCUAGUCAACCUAGGACAAUUUCAGCAGGCUUUACAAAAGUGUGGAAUUCAAAGGCUCCCCAUACUGGGAACUAACUAGCGACCCUAAAUCAGGCCAGGAGAUAAGGUACUUGUUAAAACACGCAAGGAGGGAUCAACUGUUCAACAAUUACAACCCAAAUGGAAGGGACCAUGUUCAGUAAUACUGGCUAUGCCUUCUGCCAUCAAAGUACAAGGAUUAGAUUGGGUACAUCUUUCAAGGAUCAAGCCAGCAAUACCAGAAGAUCCGGACCAGGAACCUGAAGUUUCCAUCAGCCACUACACCUGUGAACCUGUGGAAGCCCUGAAGUUCCUGUUUAAAAGACAGCCAAAAGAUGAGUAAAUGCCUACCAAUUUUCCUUGGUGCCUUUGUUGCAUAAUUACCGUAGGCUGGAUAAUAGUAGUCAUUUAUUUUAUUUUUGCAGUUUAAUUGCCUUCUUCCAAAUGGAUAGAAUCACUUCCUUUGUAGUAAUUAAGUUGAAUGUUUUAAUACAUUUUUAUAACAAACAUUCCUGACAGCAUAGGUAUCCACACCCAAAGUUCCCAUUAAGUCUUUUAACCGAAUUCAUUUCCUCUCGCAUAGAGACUAUCAAGCCUCAGAUGAUCAUGCAACAAGGUUUCCAGCCAGUUCCAAGUGAAGACACCACCCCUGGCCAUCAAGAAGCCACCCUAUCUUCACUAGACAGAGUAGGGAGAGAGUUCCAUGAUCUCCAACAGAUAAGGACUACUCCCAAGUCAGCAUGAAGCAGUUACAGAAGAAAGUCCAUCAGUCCCUCUGCCUCCCAUAAAGAUUUAUGGGGAUCACGUCUCUCAGGGAUGAGAUGAGGCAGGAGAACAGGUCUGGAGGAAGGGAACCUAAGGUUGUUUCACAAUGACUUCCUAGAACUAAACUGAAACGAAAACCCUAACUUUCCACACCUAAGUAACAAAAGGACCAGAGACUACUGCCUUUGCAAACCCUCACCUUGUCUGCACAGCAGAUGGGAAAUUAAAAGUGCCUCUGA
This is a long non-coding RNA of Homo sapiens (human), 4284 nucleotides long. RefSeq lists it as uncharacterized. NCBI's taxonomy places the organism in Eukaryota, Metazoa, Chordata, Mammalia, Primates, Hominidae. The transcript is spliced from 3 exons. The record is from RefSeq and is a predicted model, not a curated record.